RNAcentral lists this ribosomal RNA (432 nucleotides) under uncultured bacterium. RNAcentral's name for it is "partial 16S ribosomal RNA". It matches the Rfam family "Bacterial small subunit ribosomal RNA", at positions 29 to 506 of the family's 1533-position model. The record is from RNAcentral.
AACGAACGCUGGCGGCAUGCCUAACACAUGCAAGUCGAACGAGACCUUCGGGUCUAGUGGCGCACGGGUGCGUAACGCGUGGGAACCUGCCCUUAGGUUCGGAAUAACUCCCCGAAAGGGGUGCUAAUACCGGAUAAUGUCUUCGGACCAAAGAUUUAUCGCCUUUGGAUGGGCCCGCGUUGGAUUAGCUAGUUGGUAGGGUAAAAGCCUACCAAGGCGACGAUCCAUAGCUGGUCUGAGAGGAUGAUCAGCCACACUGGGACUGAGACACGGCCCAGACUCCUACGGGAGGCAGCAGUGGGGAAGAUUGGACAAUGGGCGAAAGCCUGAUCCAGCAAUGCCGCGGGAGUGAUGAAGGCCUUAGGGUGGUAAAGCUCUUUUACCCGGGAUGAUAAUGACAGGACCGGGAGAAUAAGCUCAGGAGAACUCCGU